Molecule: long non-coding RNA, 2598 nt
Filed under: Homo sapiens (human)
Lineage: Eukaryota; Metazoa; Chordata; Mammalia; Primates; Hominidae
Description: HSALNT0119457
Source: RNAcentral
CAUAUCUAGAUAGCUUAUUUUCAUACAGAGUGAACACAGAGCAGACAAAUGGUAUGUGGUUCUCUUUAACCCUUUCACUCCAUCCAACCUAUUACAGCCUGAUCUACCUCCUAAGGAAACAAAUCAGAGGGUAUCCAAGAGUGGUAGAAUUUAUGUCAGACAUUCUAGGUUUCUCGCUUUAAAUCAAGGUGACUUACCAUUCACCAGAUAACUACUCUAAAUAUUAUAGAUCAGGGUUCUCAAUCUCAGUACUAUUGACAAUUUGGGCUAGAUAAUUCUUUCUUGUAGCAGGGCUGUCCUACACAUUGUAGAAGGUUUAGCAGCAUUCUUGGCUUCUAACUGAUAGAUGCCAACAGUACUCCCCACCCCACCAAGUUUUGAUAACCAGAAAAAUCUCCAGAUAUUGCCAAGGGUCUGCUGGCGGUAAAAAUCACCCCAGGUUGAAAGCCAAGGAAACAGAAGACAGUGUAGUGUAUCACACUCUACUUUCUUCCUUUAUUUACCUUGAUUUUGACCUUUUAAGUUUCCACUCUUCUCAACAUCAUGCAAUUCACUUGGACCCAAAAAACAUCUUUAAUUGGUUUCGUUUGGCAUUCUCUUCUACUCAAUUUUAAGCUUGCCUGCUGAUGUCUCUACCCCAGUGUGAACACCUUUCCCUGAAUAUUUAGCCAGUGCCUUAGAUUGUGGGGCCUAUCCUCAGGGUCGACUUUCUUUCAAUUUACUUACUUUCAAAGUGGAAAUUCUCAUUCCUACCCCAACUGCUUCAAAGGUUUGCAAAGUUUAAAUAAGAUAACAAAUGUUAAAGUGCUUUGAAAAGGUAAAAACCUUUUUCUGCAAAUAUAUUUAAUAAAUGACCGUAACAGUAGGAAUGUUUCUUACUCCAUGGAAGCCUGUAGCAAGUUACAGACAGGUAAAGGCUGGUAACUCUCAAACAUAACUACCCCAUUAGUAUACAUUUUAUAGUGAACAUGGCAGCAAAGUUCAACUCAACUCAAAGUUCAACCCAAGUACCAAAGUCAAAUGAGGCUUAUGCACUACCUUGGGGAAAAAUAUUUUGGGUCGCUGGAUAGCUACCCAAAGAAGUGUUGUAGCGCUGGAUUUUAAAGGUCUGCAAACCCUCUCUCCUGUCCUGUUGACUCCCUCGGCCCCUUACCAUUUCCUCUUCUGGUCUUAGGAUAGAAAAUGAGGGAUACUCAGUAGAAGCACCAGGGGGCGGAACCCAGCAUGUGAUUACGCCUCGGCUUUCUAGCCAGGCACAGUAAUUUCCCUCUUGAGGGAGUAACCACUUCUCUACCCAUAACCUUUAAAUCAGCUGCACCAUACCCCUGUGCACUGUGUGUGAACUUCUGUGUGCAUGUAUGUGUGUACACACUAAGAAUCGAGAUUCUUUUAGGAAUUUGGGGAUUGCAGGAACCAGAGGAUCAGGCAUUCCUAGAACCCAUUUAUGAUUUUGUAAAGAAAGAGGAGAAGACGAUUUCCCUUUAAAGGUCUAUUUCACUGUGAAUGGUGGUUAAGAAGUGCCACCUAGAACCUCGGCACAUGUGAAGUAGGACCAGACUUCUCUAGUCAAGAAACUGAACAGGCACUGCUAGCAAGGCAGGAAACGUGAACUUGACAAACCACGUCUGAGCUUGCCAAGAGGCUUAGCCUUUAUUUCAGGGUCAGAAUCUUGUCUUCUUUUAUCCAACUUGGAAACGAAGAAAAUAUUUGCGUAGUAUUCAGAUGUAUCAUCCUUAAGAAUGUGAAUAUUUAAGAUAAUGGAUCAAGUAGAAAUAGGUCAAAAGAUAUAGCACAGAGUUAAAAAUAGCCACCACAGAAAAUGUGUUUGCAUUUGGCGUGGUGCCUUUUCACACUCAUGUAAUUGGCCAUUUGGCUCGCUGUGUAAAGCAGCCAGCUUCCCUCAGCUCUGGGAUAUGGGGGUUAGGGUACUCUGUUACUUUCCCCAAACCACAUAAAUAGAAGACCAAAUUAGUUAUUUCUACAGUUAAAGCUAAAAUUCCCUUCCUUUCAUGUCAAUGAUGAGACUUUCUAAUGUGAAAAAAUUACCAUUACUAUCAGCAAAGGAACUAUUCUCUCUUGAGGCUUGUUGUUUUGUUUUGUUUUAAUUUGCGUAUUCCCUCCUCCCUCCCAGUCUCUAGACCCCCUUCGUGGAUGGUAUCAGAUGAUUUCAGUCCAACCUUCCAUUGCAUUCUCUGACUGAGCCAACACAGCUGGAUUCUCAGCCAACUAUGAAGUUUAAAUUGACUCCGCUUUCUGUCUCUCUGAAGAUAACGUUAAGCUGCAGCUCCGUAUCUGUGAAAACCCAUUUCACAGCAUCUGCAUCCCUGGAUUGCUAAAUACCCUUGUCUAGUUACCCAAAUAUUAAUGGAUCCCAUGGAAUAAGGUGGCAUGAUUUAGGCACAAGCAAUUACCAAAGGAUUUUGAAAAGCAGUAACUCCAAAUUAUCUUGUAAAGUUGAGAAUAAUCUGAGAAGAGCUAUUGUAAGACUGGGAAUCAAGUAACAAAAUAAAGAUAUGAACCGUCCGAAAAAAUGUUAAGGGCAGCCAGAGAGAAAGGUCGGGUUACCCACAGACCUUCUGCCCAUCAGACUAACAGCGG